UUCCGGUCUGAUCCUGUCCGGCACCCGCACUGCUAUCAGAGUGGGACUAACGCCAUGCGACGCUCAACGCAGCAAUGCGUGGCAUACGGCUCAGUAACACGUAGUCAACAUGCCCAGGGGACGUGGAUAACCUCGGGAAACUGAGGAUAAACCGCGAUAGGCCAAGGUUUCUGGAAUGGAUCAUGGCUGAAACCUACAUGGCCCCUGGAUUGGACUGCGGCCGAUCAGGCUGUUGGUGAGGUAAUGGCCCACCAAACCUGUAACCGGUACGGGCUCUGAGAGGAGGAGCCCGGAGAUGGGCACUGAGACAAGGGCCCAGGCCCUAUGGGGCGCAGCAGGCGCGAAACCUCUGCAAUAGGCGAAAGCUUGACAGGGUUACUCUGAGUGAUGUCCGCUAAGGGCAUCUUUUGGCACUUCUAAAAAUAGUGUAGAAUAAGGGGUGGGCAAGUCUGGUGUCAGCCGCCGCGGUAAUACCAGCACCCCGAGUGGUCGGGACGAUUAUAGGGCCCUAAAGCAUCCGUAGCCGGUUCUGCAAGUUACCGUAAAAUCACCUGCUCACAGAUGGCUGGGAGGAA
Molecule: ribosomal RNA, 575 nt
Filed under: uncultured archaeon
Lineage: Archaea
Description: bacterial SSU rRNA
Rfam family: Archaeal small subunit ribosomal RNA
Source: RNAcentral